GUUAGGCUUUGCGUAUCAUUUAAUUGGAAUGUAAUAAAGCCUUAGUUUGGUCCCAUUUCCAAUUUGGAGAAAAUACAGGGACUUGAGAAACAAGUUAAUGACCGGAUCAAACAAGGGCAAGUCACCUGCUGGCAGGAGCUGGCAGGGUCUCUGCAAACGGUUCUGGUUGUCACCACAGAGGCAGGUGGUGCAAACGGCAUCUCGAGGGUGGAGGCAGGGAGAGAAGACACCACCCAAACGGACGUCUCAAGAGUCACAUGGACAAAGGCGCCAUAUGAUGUGAUGGAGAAAAUCUCAAGCGGACUCAGAUCUUACAGGAAGAAGAGCACGGACAUCAGCUGGUGGCAGGCGAAGACUGUGAUGCUGGCAGCAGGAAAGCCUUGCUGGGCCCAGGGAACAGGUCUGGUCUCAGGAGGUCCCUCCACCACUCACUGAUCUAGAACACUAGAAUGAAGAGUCUCAAUCAAGCCUUUGCAAAGUACCAUCCUGUUAAAAGAGCCACAAUGCAAGGAGCAGCCAGGAGUCUGAUACCAGAUGGGAUUAGAAGUUCUUGACCAGUGAUGGUCUUUACCCCUCUGUAUCCUACUAUCAUUUUGUUUUGUUUUGUUUUUCAAACUUCCCAGAGGUUCCAUAUGGUGCAAUUUUAUAAAUAAAUGAAAAAAUUCAUUUGAAAAAAGAAAAGAAAAUGUGUCCCACAACUCAGCCCUGCUUAAGGAUAACAUGCUCUGAAACCAGUUAGGAGACCCAAAAAAGCAUCUGCCAUAAUAAAGCCACCAGUGGCAAAAAUUCAUGGGAAAUUUCUGAAUUAUUUUCUGAAACAUGAGGAUGAAAGAAUAUUUUUAAAGUAAUAUAAUUAUAUGUGUUUCUAGUAUGUAUAAUGAAAUAAACAAAAUAUUAGA
Molecule: long non-coding RNA, 899 nt
Organism: Zalophus californianus (California sea lion)
Lineage: Eukaryota; Metazoa; Chordata; Mammalia; Carnivora; Otariidae
Exons: 4
Source: RefSeq, a predicted model, not a curated record